RNAcentral lists this ribosomal RNA (422 nucleotides) under uncultured bacterium. RNAcentral's name for it is "bacterial SSU rRNA". It matches the Rfam family "Bacterial small subunit ribosomal RNA", at positions 355 to 774 of the family's 1533-position model. The record is from RNAcentral.
UGAGGAAUAUUGGACAAUGGGCGCAAGCCUGAUCCAGCCAUGCCGCGUGCAGGAAGAAGCAUCUAUGGUGUGUAAACUGCUUUUGUACGGGAAGAAACACUCCUACGUGUAGGAGCUUGACGGUACCGUAAGAACAAGGAUCGGCUAACUCCGUGCCAGCAGCCGCGGUAAUACGGAGGAUCCAAGCGUUAUCCGGAAUCAUUGGGUUUAAAGGGUCCGUAGGCGGUUUAGUAAGUCAGUGGUGAAAGCCCAUCGCUCAACGAUGGAACGGCCAUUGAUACUGCUAGACUUGAAUUACAAGGAAGUAACUAGAAUAUGUAGUGUAGCGGUGAAAUGCUUAGAUAUUACAUGGAAUACCAAUUGCGAAGGCAGGUUACUACUUGUGGAUUGACGCUGAUGGACGAAAGCGUGGGGAGCGAACA